GGUAAUUUGAUCAUUAAUUUUUUAUCAUUGGGAAAUUCUCUUUGGUAGACAAUAAUCCAUUUUAGAUUACAUUACAUAAUGAUUUUCCUAAUGCUUUUAGGAAAUAUAUGGAUUAUGGAGUAUAAUUUGAUAUGUUGGAGUGGUGUUAAAUUGAUUGUUAGGUUUUAUUAGGAAAUUUUGAAUAAAGUAGAGAUUAUUAGUAACCUUGUUACUUAAUUAGUUGAAUUUGGUAGUAUGUUUUAAUGUGUAAUUUAGGUGGUUUUAUAGUUCUUGACAAAAUUACUAACUUUUAUUUUUUGUUUUAUUUUUUAUUUUUGUAGAUUCAUAUUAUGAAGUGAAGAACAAGUUUAUUAGCUAUUCAAGUGGGAAGUUCGAGACAUUACAUCCAUUAUACUUGCUAUAUUGCUCGAUCAACAAAGAAGUACCUCGUGAUGUCUGUACUACAAAAUAUUAUGAAGAAGGUACAUGGUCGUGCUCCACGGGGUCCUACAUGGAAAUCACCUAUGGUAAUGCC
Chenopodium quinoa (quinoa) is the source of this 514-nucleotide long non-coding RNA. RefSeq lists it as uncharacterized. NCBI's taxonomy places the organism in Eukaryota, Viridiplantae, Streptophyta, Magnoliopsida, Caryophyllales, Amaranthaceae. The record is from RefSeq and is a predicted model, not a curated record. The transcript is spliced from 3 exons.